CUUCAUUCUCAGGGCAGGGUGGAAUUCCCUACCGGUGGUAUAGCCCACGAGCGUUUAUAAAGUGCGGUCAAGAAUGCCGUUACUUUGUGAAGUCAGCAGAUUUGGUGAGAUUCCAAAGCCGACAGUAAUAGUCUGGAUGGAAGAGAAUAAAC
This 152-nucleotide non-coding RNA is filed under the name Rodentibacter caecimuris. RNAcentral's name for it is "Rodentibacter heylii FMN sequence". It matches the Rfam family "FMN riboswitch aptamer (RFN element)". Rfam says of the family: The RFN element is a highly conserved domain that is found frequently in the 5'-untranslated regions of prokaryotic mRNAs that encode for flavin mononucleotide (FMN) biosynthesis and transport proteins. The record is from RNAcentral. Lineage: Bacteria; Pseudomonadati; Pseudomonadota; Gammaproteobacteria; Pasteurellales; Pasteurellaceae.